RNAcentral lists this ribosomal RNA (469 nucleotides) under uncultured Magnetospirillum sp. RNAcentral's name for it is "bacterial SSU rRNA". It matches the Rfam family "Bacterial small subunit ribosomal RNA", at positions 83 to 587 of the family's 1533-position model. The record is from RNAcentral. Lineage: Bacteria; Pseudomonadati; Pseudomonadota; Alphaproteobacteria; Rhodospirillales; Rhodospirillaceae.
AGCAAUACGAGAGUGGCGCACGGGUGAGUAACACGUGGGAAUAUGCCCAGCAGUGGGGGAUAACCGAGGGAAACUUCGGCUAAUACCGCAUACGCCCCUAGGGGGAAAGAUUUAUCGCUGUUGGAUUAGCCCGCGUCCGAUUAGCUAGUUGGUGUGGUAACGGCGCACCAAGGCGACGAUCGGUAGCUGGUCUGAGAGGAUGAUCAGCCACACUGGGACUGAGACACGGCCCAGACUCCUACGGGAGGCAGCAGUGGGGAAUAUUGGACAAUGGGGGCAACCCUGAUCCAGCCAUGCCGCGUGAGUGGAGAAGGCCUUAGGGUUGUAAAGCUCUUUCGGCGGGGACGAUGAUGACGGUACCCGCAGAAGAAGCCCCGGCUAACUCCGUGCCAGCAGCCGCGGUAAUACGGAGGGGGCUAGCGUUGUUCGGAAUUACUGGGCGUAAAGCGCGCGCAGGCGGCUAUUCUAG